ACCUGAUGCAGCGACGCCGCGUGAGGGAUGACGGCCUCGGGUUGUAAAACCUCUUUCAGUAGGGAAGAAGCGAAAGUGACGGUACCUGCAGAAGAAGCGCCGGCUAACUACGUGCCAGCAGCCGCGGUAAUACGUAGGGCGCAAGCGUUAUCCGGAAUUAUUGGGCGUAAAGAGCUCGCAGGCGGUUUGUCGCGUCUGCCGUGAAAGUCCGGGGCUCAACUCCGGAUCUGCGGUGGGUACGGGCAGACUAGAGUGAUGUAGGGGAGACUGGAAUUCCUGGUGUAGCGGUGAAAUGCGCAGAUAUCAGGAGGAACACCGAUGGCGAAGGCAGGUCUCUGGGCAUUAACUGACGCUGAGGAGCGAAAGCAUGGGGAGCGAACAGGAUUAGAUACCCUGGUAGUCCAUGCCGUAAACGUUGGGCACUAGGUGUGGGGGACAUUCCACGUUUUCCGCGCCGUAGCUAACGCAUUAAGUGCCCCGCCUGGGGAGUACGGCCGCAAGGCUA
This 505-nucleotide ribosomal RNA is filed under the name uncultured Actinomycetes bacterium. Its description in RNAcentral is "bacterial SSU rRNA". It matches the Rfam family "Bacterial small subunit ribosomal RNA", at positions 381 to 896 of the family's 1533-position model. The record is from RNAcentral. Lineage: Bacteria; Bacillati; Actinomycetota; Actinomycetes.